Gossypium arboreum is the source of this 829-nucleotide long non-coding RNA. RefSeq lists it as uncharacterized. The record is from RefSeq and is a predicted model, not a curated record. NCBI's taxonomy places the organism in Eukaryota, Viridiplantae, Streptophyta, Magnoliopsida, Malvales, Malvaceae. The transcript has 7 exons.
UAUUUUAAUUUUUAUUGAAAUGGUGCCGUUUUUAUUCUUCGAUACAAACCCUUUUCUUUCUCAAACGGCACUAUUUUUCCCAACAAUGGCUGAUAUCAUUUCCCUCGAUUCCCUUUUCUUUCUCAGUCUAUUCUUUGCUUGACUAAAAUAUACAAACCUGUUCUUCUAUUUUAUACCCCAAAAUCCUCUCAGUUCUGCUCUACAAAUAUAUUACCUUCCCCAUCCACAUUAUUUGAUUUCUCAAAACCCUAAACACCCACUGUGCCCCCCUUUCCUCAGAGGUUGUAACUGAGCAACCGGCGCCUAGCCACUUUACCCAACAGCGAACUCACUCCCCAACCUCCAUGAGUCUUAGCAACUAAAGAUCAGCAAAAUAAGGAGUUGGCCAAAAGACCAAAGAAAUAAAGUUGGAGCAAAUGGACCAUUAAGAUUGUCAAACAUUAAGGAAAAUAUCAAUUGUCUGCUUGGCACAUAGAGACAGGUGAGCCCUAGUUGGUGGACUUGGAGCUGGGCGGGAUUCGGAGUGGCCACAUGUUUUCUGCAAAUUCGUUUUCUUCUGGUUAAAGCAUUGAAGAACAUUGGGGUUGAGCAAGAGGCGUUUUGCGAUUAUUCGUUUGGUGCUUGGAUCUCGGAAGCAUUCAGCUACAAUCUCGUUACAGGAAAUCCCCAGGCUUAGAUGAAUCGAGGUGACGGAGGACUUGAAGGUGGCCACUCAACGUAGUUAACUUAUUUAACAUUCUAUAAUUUAGAUUUUAUUUGAUAUUAGGUUUCCGUUAUGUAAUAAGGCCUUUUUAAAGUUUAUUUUAAUUUGGGAAUUUAAUUACUUUAA